Molecule: ribosomal RNA, 465 nt
Filed under: Vreelandella stevensii
Lineage: Bacteria; Pseudomonadati; Pseudomonadota; Gammaproteobacteria; Oceanospirillales; Halomonadaceae
Description: partial 16S ribosomal RNA
Rfam family: Bacterial small subunit ribosomal RNA
Source: RNAcentral
CCUACAGGAGGCUGCAGUGGGGAAUAUUGGACAAUGGGGGGAACCCUGAUCCAGCCAUGCCGCGUGUGUGAAGAAGGCCCUCGGGUUGUAAAGCACUUUCAGUGAGGAAGAACGCCUGGUGGUUAAUACCCAUCAGGAAAGACAUCACUCACAGAAGAAGCACCGGCUAACUCCGUGCCAGCAGCCGCGGUAAUACGGAGGGUGCGAGCGUUAAUCGGAAUUACUGGGCGUAAAGCGCGCGUAGGUGGCUUGAUAAGCCGGUUGUGAAAGCCCCGGGCUCAACCUGGGAACGGCAUCCGGAACUGUCAAGCUAGAGUGCAGGAGAGGAAGGUAGAAUUCCCGGUGUAGCGGUGAAAUGCGUAGAGAUCGGGAGGAAUACCAGUGGCGAAGGCGGCCUUCUGGACUGACACUGACACUGAGGUGCGAAAGCGUGGGUAGCAAACAGGAUUAGAUACCCCUGUAGUC